RNAcentral lists this ribosomal RNA (426 nucleotides) under uncultured bacterium. RNAcentral describes it as "bacterial SSU rRNA". It matches the Rfam family "Bacterial small subunit ribosomal RNA", at positions 354 to 796 of the family's 1533-position model. The record is from RNAcentral.
GUGAGGAAUUUUCCGCAAUGGGCGAAAGCCUGACGGAGCAAUGCCGCGUGAAGGAUGAAGGCCUAUGGGUUGUAAACUUCUUUUCUCAGAAAAGAAUUAUGACGGUAUCUGAGGAAUAAGCAUCGGCUAACUCUGUGCCAGCAGCCGCGGUAAGACAGAGGAUGCAAGCGUUAUCCGGAAUGAUUGGGCGUAAAGCGUCUGUAGGUUGUUUAAAAAGUAUUCUGUCAAAGAUUAGGGCUUAACCCUAGAUAGGCAGAAUAAACUUUUAAGCUAGAGUUUGGUAGAGGCAGAGGAAAUUCCCGGUGGAGCGGUGAAAUGCGUAGAUAUCGGGAGGAACACCAAAGGCGAAGGCACUCUGCUGGGCCAAUACUAACACUGAGAGACGAAAGCGAGGGGAGCAAAUGGGAUUAGAAACCCGUGUAGUCC